This 496-nucleotide ribosomal RNA is filed under the name uncultured bacterium. RNAcentral describes it as "partial 16S ribosomal RNA". It matches the Rfam family "Bacterial small subunit ribosomal RNA", at positions 30 to 523 of the family's 1533-position model. The record is from RNAcentral.
AUUGAACGCUGGCGGAAUGCUUUACACAUGCAAGUCGAACGGUAGAGGGGGCAACCCCUCGAGAGUGGCGAACGGGUGAGUAAUAUAUCGGAACGUGCCCAGUCGUGGGGGAUAACGUAGCGAAAGUUACGCUAAUACCGCAUACGAUCUAAGGAUGAAAGCGGGGGAUCGCAAGACCUCGCGUGAUUGCAGCAGCCGAUAUCAGAUUAGGUAGUUGGUGGGGUAAAGGCUCACCAAGCCAACGAUCUGUAGCUGGUCUGAGAGGACGACCAGUCACACUGGAACUGAGACACGGUCCAGACUCCUACGGGAGGCAGCAGUGGGGAAUUUUGGACAAUGGACGCAAGUCUGAUCCAGCCAUUCCGCGUGCAGGAUGAAGGCCCUCGGGUUGUAAACUGCUUUUGUACGGAACGAAAAGGUCUCUCUUAAUACGGGGGACUCAUGACGGUACCGUAAGAAUAAGCACCGGCUAACUACGUGCCAGCAGCCGCGGUAA